UCUACUCUCUCCCACGUCUGCCAAACGGCUCUUAACUCCCUCUCUCCACUUGCUCUCUCACACGUUGGUGGAUCUCUCUCAAUGUGUUGUAGUUGAGAGAGAGAUGAGAUGGGUGUUGUGUUCACGCACACUCUCUCUCUCUCUUUCUCUGUCUAGGAUUCUCUCUCUCGAUCCCUAAUGCCGCCGUCGCACCACCGUUGCCAGAACCACCGCCUCCUUCACAACCACAUCAACGACGCCCCUCUUCUGCAGCAGCGCCGUAGUCCGCAUCUGCCGCUCUCCGAAAAAUACUCGGCUGGGAUUCAAUGCUGAGCUUGGCCUCUCUGAAAUUCAUCCAUAUCCCUACAUUCAUAACAGUCCUUCACCGUUUUCUCUCUCUAACGUCUCUCUCAUGGCGUCGACUCUCCGCCAACAUUCCCUUCUCCAUCCCCUCGCUCCGAUCCAAACCCCCACAAAUUCGCCUUCCAAAACCCUAAAAUCUCCUCCCGAUUGAGACGAUAUCUUUGCACUCCUACUCUCUCUCAUCAAGCCCUCACUCUCUCUCUAGGGUUUCCGAUUCUGCACUCUGUCCGUGUUCACCGCUCGAUGGUCCCGUUGUUUCGGUGCCGAACAGACAAUCUUCUGCAGGCUCUUCGCUACGCUGCUCAAUUCGGCUCCCUUCGCUACCGACGGUGCUCUCGCAAGAGCGGAGUUCACCAUGCCCUUAACCCAGAUCCAUACAGUGGAGUCUUUGGUUCAAACAGGGAGAAGUAUGCAAGAGAUGUUGAAGAUCUCAUUACCUUUGGAACUUUAGGGCAUGUAGCUGGUUUUAUUUCUGAAGCCAUACAGGGAGUGGGUGGAAUUAUUGAAUUGGCCCCAGGUUACUUCCCUGCUGUGUACAGCAGUAUUAAGAAAGCAUGAGGGCUUUGUAUUGCCGAUGAGGUUCAAUCUGGGUUUGCUCACACUGGGAGCCAUUUUUGGGAUUUGAGACCCAAGGCAUUGUGCCUGACAUAGUGACAAUGGCAAAGGCGAACAAGCUUCAUGAAGUGUGUUGAAGAUUUCAGAGCUAGGGUUUAUCUGCAACUUAACAAGAUUUUUCAAUGCUCAGUGGCUUCGAUUUCUCAACCUCAAACCUCUAGUGGUCUUCUUUUACUGGUAUUGAUUUCUCUAUCCAUUGAUUGCUUUAUGACCACACACCCUCAUCAAACUCUUAAUCACCACUGUCACUAUCUCUCUUCUCUCUCUUGAUGUGUAUUUUGCUAUAGCAUUGCAUGAUGUCAAUAUUUUCACUUUGACUCUAUUCUUGAUGCAUGUCACAAUAUUUUCACUCUGUAUAGUAAUUUUGAAAUUCAUGUUCUGUUUUAGCUUUAAUAUGUGUUUCAGCUUUAAUAUGUGCAUUGGUUCCUCCUACUUACAGUGAAAACUUCUACUCUAUUUAUAGACCAAAUUUUCUCUUAUGAGGUAGAAAAAGUUAUUUUAGUAGAAUUGAGACAAGUUUUGUUUUGGUAUUACUCUGAGGCUUCUAUUGGAAAAGCUUGAAAAUCAAAGCAUUCAAUGUAUAUUGUGUCAUGGCAGGCUGCAACUUGCCUACAUCUUUGCUUGUGGAUGUACAAAUAAUUUUCCAUCACUACCGCCAUAGAUUUUAGUUAUAAAAAUGCAGUUCCUAUUAAAUAAUGUUGU
Camellia sinensis is the source of this 1659-nucleotide non-coding RNA. Lineage: Eukaryota; Viridiplantae; Streptophyta; Magnoliopsida; Ericales; Theaceae. The record is from RefSeq and is a predicted model, not a curated record.